This 246-nucleotide ribosomal RNA is filed under the name uncultured bacterium. Its description in RNAcentral is "partial 16S ribosomal RNA". It matches the Rfam family "Bacterial small subunit ribosomal RNA", at positions 109 to 354 of the family's 1533-position model. The record is from RNAcentral.
AGUAACGCGUGAGCAACCUGCCUUGAAGUGGGGGACGAACAGUUGGAAACGACUGCUAAUACCGCAUAAUAUAUCUGAGUCGCAUGGCUUAGAUAUCAAAGAUUUAUCGCUUCAAGAUGGGCUCGCGUCUGAUUAGGUAGUUGGCGGGGUAACGGCCCACCAAGCCGACGAUCAGUAGCCGGACUGAGAGGUUGAACGGCCACAUUGGGACUGAGAUACGGCCCAGACUCCUACGGAAGGCAGCAG